This is a small nuclear RNA of Nycticebus coucang (slow loris), 164 nucleotides long. RefSeq annotates it as U1 spliceosomal RNA. Lineage: Eukaryota; Metazoa; Chordata; Mammalia; Primates; Lorisidae. The record is from RefSeq and is a predicted model, not a curated record. The transcript has a single exon.
AUACUUACCUUGUGGGAGAGAUACCAUGUUCACAAAGGUGGUUUUCCCAGCGUGAGGCUUAUCCAUUGCAUUCUGGAUGUAUUGACCCCUGCAAUUUCCCCAAAUGUGGGAAACUUGACUGCAUAAUUUGUGGUAGUGGGGUACUGCGUUCGUGCUCUCCCCUU